GGUCAAGCUACAAAGGGCACAGGGUGAAUGCCUUGGCACUGGGAGCCGACGAAAGACGUGAUAAGCUGCGAAAAGCCACGGGGAGCUGCAAAUAAGCCUUGAUCCGUGGAUAUCUGAAUGGAGCAAUCCGGCGGAUGUAACGAUCCGUCAUGGCAUACUGAAUCCAUAGGUAUGUCAGGGGAACCGCCUGAACUGAAACAUCUAAGUAGGGCGAGGAAGAGAAAUCAACCGAGAUUCCGUAAGUAGUGGCGAGCGAAAGCGGAAGAGGCCAAACCGCAUGCAGCAAUGUGUGCGGGGUUGCGGACUGCAUAAGGUAUGUUGAAGUCUAGCUGAACUGUAUGGGAAGGCAGACCGGAGAGCGUGAGAGUCGCGUAAGCGAAAGACAGAGACAGCCGGCAGGAUCCAGAGUACCGCGGGACACGUGAAACCCCGUGGGAAGCCGGGGGGACCACCCUCCAAGCCUAAAUACUCCCCAGUGACCGAUAGAGAAUAGUACUGUGAAGGAAAGGUGAAAAGCACCCCGGGAGGGGAGUGAAACAGCACCUGAAACCCUGAGCCUACAAGCACAUAGAGCACGUCAAAGUGUGAUAUGGUACCUUUUGUAGAAUGGUCCGGCGAGCGUAUGUAUGCAGCAAGGUUAAGCGCUUAAGGCGUGGAGCCGAAGGGAAACCGAGUCUGAAUAGGGCGUGAAGUUGCAUGCAUAGGGCCCGAAACCGGGUGACCUAUCCAUGUCCAGGUUGAAGUGGGAGUAAAAUCCCAUGGAGGACCGAACCGACCUCCGUUGAAAAGGCGGCGGAUGAGGUGUGGAUAGCGGAGAAAUUCCAAUCGAACCCGGAGAUAGCUGGUUCUCCCCGAAAUAGCUUUAGGGCUAGCGUUGUAUUAGAUUACCGGAGGUAAAGCACUGAAUGGGCUAGGGGCCGAGAGGUUACUGAACCCUAUCAAACUCUGAAUGCCGGAUAAUUGAUGUACAGCAGUCAGACUACGUGAGAUAAGUCUCGUGGUCGAGAGGGAAAAAGCCCAGACCCACAGCUAAGGUCCCAAAUACACGUUAAGUGGAAAAGGAUGUGGAGUUGCACAGACAACCAGGAUGUUGGCUUAGAAGCAGCCACUCAUUAAAAGAGUGCGUAAUAGCUCACUGGUCGAGUGACUCUGCGCCGAAAAUUCAACGGGGCUAAACGUGUAACCGAAGCUUGGGAUUUCAUUCACUGAACAAUGCUUUUUGUCAGGCAGGAGGGAAAGAUUUGCUGCCGAAGGCAGCUAAAUUCCCAAAAGCAAACGAGAGAGAAAGUAUUGGUCAGUGAAUGAAAUGGUAGGGGAGCGUCGUAUACGGGGUGAAGUAUGAGCGAAAGCGCAUGUGGACUGUAUACGAGUGAGAAUGCCGGAAUGAGUAGCGAGAAAUAUGUGAGAAUCAUAUUGGCCGAAAGUCUAAGGUUUCCGGAGGAAGGUUCGUCCGCUCCGGGUAAGCCGGGAGCUAAGGUGAGGCCGGAAGGCGUAGCCGAUGCACAUACGGUAGAGAUUCCGUAGCUGCCGGAGGAUUUAAGCAGAGGGACACUGUCAAAGGGUAUGACCCGGGCGUUGGUAGCCCCGGGCGAAAGGGACUGAAAUAUAGUAGGGAAGCAUACUUGGCGGCAGGCGAGAAAAGCUCUGUGGAUAUCUGAGGCACCCGUACCGCAAACCGACACAGGUAGACAGGAAGAGAAUUCUAAGGCCAACGGGAGAAGGGUUGUUAAGGAACUCGGCAAGUUGACCCCGUAACUUAGGGAAAAGGGGUGCUCCUGAAAGGGAGCCGCAGAGAAUAGGUCCAGGCGACUGUUUAGCAAAAACACAGCUCUAUGCUAAAUCGAAAGAUGACGUAUAUGGGGUGACACCUGCCCGGUGCCGGAAGGUUAAGAGGAGGAGUGAGAGCUCUGAAUUGAAGCCCCGGUAAACGGCGGCCGUAACUAUAACGGUCCUAAGGUAGCGAAAUUCCUUGUCAGGUAAGUUCUGACCCGCACGAAUGGUGUAACGAUCUGGACACUGUCUCAACAGCCCGCCCGGCGAAAUUGUAGUACCGGUGAAGAUGCCGGUUACCCGCGACAAGACGGAAAGACCCCAUGGAGCUUUACUGCAGCUUAAUAUUGGAUUUCGGUAUUUCAUGUACAGGAUAGGUGGGAGGCAGAGAAGGCAGCACGCCAGUGUUGCUGGAGCCGCCGUUGGGAUACCACUCUUGAGGUGCUGAAAUUCUAACCUGCGGCCGUGAAUCCGGUCGGGGGACAGUGUUAGGCGGGCAGUUUGACUGGGGCGGUCGCCUCCAAAAAGGUAACGGAGGCGCUCAAAGGUUGGCUCAGCAUGGACGGAAACCAUGCCAGAGAGUGUAAACGCACAAGCCAGCCUAACUGCGAGAGCGACAGUUCGAGCAGUAACGAAAGUUGGAGUUAGUGAUCCGGUGGUAUGUGAGUGGAAAUGCCAUCGCUCAACGGAUAAAAGCUACCCUGGGGAUAACAGGCUGAUCUCCCCCAAGAGUCCACAUCGUCGGGGAGGUUUGGCACCUCGAUGUCGGCUCAUCGCAUCCUGGGGCUGAAUUCGGUCCCAAGGGUUUGGCUGUUCGCCAAUUAAAGCGGUACGCGAGCUGGGUUCAGAACGUCGUGAGACAGUUCGGUCCCUAUCUGUCGUGGGCGCAGGAUAUUUGAGAGGAGCUGUCCCUAGUACGAGAGGACCGGGAUGGACGUACCUCUGGUGCACCAGUUGUCGUGCCAACGGCACAGCUGGGCAGCUAAGUACGGAUCGGAUAAACGCUGAAGGCAUCUAAGCGUGAAGCCGACCUCAAGAUAAGAUAUGCCACUGAGUAAUCAGGUAAGACCCCUUGAAGACUACAAGGUUGAUAGGCCGCAUGUGGAAGCGUCGUGAGGCGUGCAGCAAGGCGGUACUAAUCGGUCGAGGGCUUGACCAG
This 2929-nucleotide ribosomal RNA is filed under the name Anaerotruncus colihominis. Its description in RNAcentral is "23S ribosomal RNA". It matches the Rfam family "Bacterial large subunit ribosomal RNA". Lineage: Bacteria; Bacillati; Bacillota; Clostridia; Eubacteriales; Oscillospiraceae. The record is from RNAcentral.